AGCAGGGUGGCUUAAUGGAAAGAGCACUGGCUUGGAAGUCAGAGGUCAUGGGUUCUAAUCCCGGUUCUGCCA
This is a non-coding RNA of Ornithorhynchus anatinus (platypus), 72 nucleotides long. Lineage: Eukaryota; Metazoa; Chordata; Mammalia; Monotremata; Ornithorhynchidae. The record is from Rfam.